GUUGCAUUUUAACGUUGAGUCGUUUGUGUUUUCUCUUAUUUUUGAGAUAUUGAGAUCAGACGUGGCACGGUACUUGUCUAUCCCUAAUUCAUGUAUUUGGUUUUCAUGUUAUAUUUGUUAUUCUCGUGGUGUUUUGUCUGAUGCUUGGUCCGUUUCUGUGUGUGUUACGUUUCGGUGUUAUGUCGUUGUUCUCUUAUAUUUAAUGCGUUUCCCUCGGUUUUAGUUUGUUACCCCGAUUUUGUUUUUUG
Molecule: long non-coding RNA, 248 nt
Filed under: Mytilus galloprovincialis (Mediterranean mussel)
Lineage: Eukaryota; Metazoa; Mollusca; Bivalvia; Mytilida; Mytilidae
Source: RNAcentral